Molecule: ribosomal RNA, 453 nt
Filed under: Escherichia coli
Lineage: Bacteria; Pseudomonadati; Pseudomonadota; Gammaproteobacteria; Enterobacterales; Enterobacteriaceae
Description: bacterial SSU rRNA
Rfam family: Bacterial small subunit ribosomal RNA
Source: RNAcentral
AUACCCUGGUAGUCCACGCCGUAAACGAUGUCGACUUGGAGGUUGUGCCCUUGAGGCGUGGCUUCCGGAGCUAACGCGUUAAGUCGACCGCCUGGGGAGUACGGCCGCAAGGUUAAAACUCAAAUGAAUUGACGGGGGCCCGCACAAGCGGUGGAGCAUGUGGUUUAAUUCGAUGCAACGCGAAGAACCUUACCUGGUCUUGACAUCCACGGAAGUUUUCAGAGAUGAGAAUGUGCCUUCGGGAACCGUGAGACAGGUGCUGCAUGGCUGUCGUCAGCUCGUGUUGUGAAAUGUUGGGUUAAGUCCCGCAACGAGCGCAACCCUUAUCCUUUGUUGCCAGCGGUCCGGCCGGGAACUCAAAGGAGACUGCCAGUGAUAAACUGGAGGAAGGUGGGGAUGACGUCAAGUCAUCAUGGCCCUUACGACCAGGGCUACACACGUGCUACAAUGGCG